CCCAUGCCAAAAUUCUGCACCUCAUUCCAUGAAAAUUGUCAUCUUGCAUGAAUCAUUAUGGCUCCCUUCUUUCACUUGUGAAAGAAAAGUAAAGACAAAUAUUUAUGCCUCCAAUAGAAGGUGGGGAGUAAGGUUAAAAUGCAUGACUUACCUGAGUCUCAAUCUCCAAGUUAUACCUCAUUUCAAAUAGAUUCUCCCAUGAUCCUUAGGGUGAUCUCUAACAGCCUCACCUUUCCAAACAUAUCUUAGAUAGUCAUUGUACACAAUCUUGUGAUCAUCUAAAAUCCUCCAGUAGUAAGCUUUGGAUGCUUAUUUGGAUGCCAUUAAACACAUCAUAUCGAAUUCCAAAGCCAUGAAUAUUGCUGUGCAC
This 370-nucleotide long non-coding RNA is filed under the name Elaeis guineensis (African oil palm). RNAcentral's name for it is "long non-coding RNA (EGUI_LNC080719)". Lineage: Eukaryota; Viridiplantae; Streptophyta; Magnoliopsida; Arecales; Arecaceae. The record is from RNAcentral.